GUGAGUCAUCGAAUCUUUGAACGCACAUUGCGCCCGCUAGUAUUCUGGCGGGCAUGCCUGUUCGAGCGUCAUUUCACCCCUCAAGCGCAGCUUGGUGUUGGGGCUCUAGGGUCUUUGGACCGGUAGGCCCCGAAAACUAGUGGCGGGCUCGCUGUGACUCCGAGCGUAGUGUUCUUUCUCGCUCCGGACGUUCAGCGCGUCCCUGCCGUAAAACUCGUGAAAACGAACCCGUUGACCUCGGAUCAGGUAGGAAUACCCGCUGAACUUAAGCAUAUCAAUAAGCGGAGGA
Molecule: unclassified non-coding RNA, 289 nt
Filed under: Sordariales sp.
Lineage: Eukaryota; Fungi; Ascomycota; Sordariomycetes; Sordariales
Description: partial contains 5.8S ribosomal RNA, internal transcribed spacer 2, and large subunit ribosomal RNA
Rfam family: 5.8S ribosomal RNA (bases 1-71)
Source: RNAcentral